RNAcentral lists this ribosomal RNA (254 nucleotides) under uncultured bacterium. RNAcentral's name for it is "partial 16S ribosomal RNA". It matches the Rfam family "Bacterial small subunit ribosomal RNA", at positions 524 to 776 of the family's 1533-position model. The record is from RNAcentral.
UACGGGGGGAGCAAGCGUUGUUCGGAUUUACUGGGCGUAAAGGGCGCGUAGGCGGUCAGCACAAGUCAGUUGUGAAAUCUCCGGGCUUAACUCGGAAAGGUCAACUGAUACUGUGCGACUAGAGUGCAGAAGGGGCAACUGGAAUUCUCGGUGUAGCGGUGAAAUGCGUAGAUAUCGAGAGGAACACCUGCGGCGAAGGCGGGUUGCUGGGCUGACACUGACGCUGAGAGACGAAAGCUAGGGGAGCAAAUGGG